CAAGAUGGGGAUUCAGCACGAUGGCCAGGCUGGUCUUGAACUCCUGACCUCGGGUGAUCCACCAACCUCGGCCUCCCAAAGUGCUAGGAUUACAGGUGUGAGCCACCGUGCCCGGCAUAAGAUUUUUCAGGAAAAAGUAUGUCGUCCUAGUGAAGGCGGGCAGCGGCAGGCCAGGGUCCUGGAGCCCCGGCCUGGGAUGCUGGCCUGCGGCCGCACCCAGCUCCCCAGCACGCCCCGCCCGGCUGGCCGCUUGCAGCCCCGAAGGUCAGGGCGCUUUGUCUGCGCCGCAGGCCGCUUCCAGAGCAGCCCCGCAGAGGAGGCGCAGCCGUGAAGGAGAAGGCGGGUAGAGGCCUUGGCCACUCAAAUCUCCCGCUCGCCCAGCCUACCCGGCGUGCCAGGGCGUGGUGGUUACACGGCUGGGCGUGCCCGGAGCGGUCAGACUUCCCGUUUUUAAGGUGGAGACGUCCAGGACCUCUUUAUUAGAUGUUUAGGAAUUUGAGUUUUUACGUCAGGCGGUAGUCAACAUGCGCCCCUGUGGGGCAGGCUGGGCUAACUGGGGUUUCGAUUUUAAGUUUCCUAUGGCCAAGGGCAUGUCUGAAGGGGAAGAACGUUCUUGGUGUUGCUUCUUAGUUGUUGGGAGCUGUGAGGUGCGAGAGAGAUGGGCGGCGUGCGCUCCCGAGGACUGGCCUCAGUGAGCUUGGACUAGUUACUCACGGGACUUGGUUUACCAGCCAAGGAGAUAAAGACAUUCAGAUGGUGGAUAACACUCUUUCAGAUGGGGUUCCUUCAGAUUCCAUGGAAGGUGCUAAAAAUGCAAGUAAUACAGAAAAGCUCACAGAUCAUGUGAUGCAGAAUCCUUGAGUUAGGGCCGCUUUACAGGAACGACUUGACUAUGCCCCUUACACCCCUUCCAGCUACAUCGAAACUUUACCUAAAGCAGUAAAAAGAAGAAUUAAUGCAUUGAAACAACUUCAGGUGAGAUGUGCCCUCGUGGAAGCCAAGUUCUAUGAAAAAGAUCGUGACUUAGAAAGAAAGUGUGCAGCAUUAUACCAGCCUCUCUUUGACAAGGGAAGAGAAUUUAUCAUCCGCGAUGCUGAACCGACAGAUGCGGAAUCAGAAUCGCACAGUGAAAAUGAAGAGGAAGAGAAAUUGGUAGGAGACAUGAAAGGCAAAGCAGUCCUAACAGAAGCAGCAGCAGUAACAGCUGAAUAGCCAAAUCCCAAAGGCGUUCUAGAGUUCUGGUUUACCAUCUUUAGAAAUGUAGCUAUGCUAAGUGAAUUAGUUCAGGAAUAUGAUGAACUAAUCUUCAAAAACCCGCAGGAUAUUAAAGUAAAGUUUUCUGACCCUGGACAGCCUGUCUUUUGUGUGAGAGUUCCACUUUGAACCCAACGACUACUUCACCAGCUCAGUCCUGACAGAAACCUACAAGAUGAAAUCAGAACCAGAUAAGGCUGAUCCCUUUUCCCUCGAAUGUCCUGAGAUCGUGAACUGACAGGUGUAGUAUUGCUGGAAGAAAGGAAAGCAUGUUACUGUCAAAACUGUCAAGAAAAAGCAGAAACAUAGGCGUCGAGGCACUGUUAGAACAAUUACAAAACAAGUACCCAAUGAAUCAUUUUUCAGCUUCGUCAAUCCACUGAAAGCAUCUGGGGAUGGAGAAUCACUGCAUAAAGGUUCUGGAUUCACAUCAGCCUCUGAUUUUGAAAUUGGACACUUUUUCUGUGAGCCAGUGGAUAGUCCCAUGGGCUGUGCUGUACUUCACUGGGGACGCCAUAGAGGAUGAUGACAGUCUUGAAGAAGGUGAAAAGAGGAGGAAUUAGGAGGUGACAAGGGGGGAGAAGAUGAGGAUGAUGCGGGAAUUAACCCCAAGAAGGAACCCAGCUAGCCGGUGGAAUGCAAGCAGCGGUAGGAAGCGAAGGCGGGCGCCUGGCCUACCGGCUACUGGGACUCCAGGCCUGUGGGCGGGGCUUGGUGUGGGCGGGGCCUCGGUCCUUGCCGCAUCAACAGCUCUUCCAUCUAACAAGUUUUCAAGGGCAAGAUUUUCACUUUCACUUUUUCUUUUUCCUUAUUAUUUUGCUUAACUUGUACAGUGCCACUGAAAUAUGUUUCAGAAAUGGGAGUUUUCAUCCAGCACCCUCUGCUGCCUUGGUGCCGGUAGCUCUGGACUUGCCUGGGCCUUCCCCUGUGGGAGGGCCCAUAGACCACAUCGGGGUGGGAUAGGGGUCACUUGGCAAAAAGGACCGAAGUCUGGUGAUGUGGUUCCAGGAAUCUAGAACCUCUCCUACCACUCCUGCAUUUGGACUGAUUUCUUCCCUUUCAUUUGAAGAAACCGACUCAUCUGUUUCCAGCCUGCGUCACCUGUUGGAUGCUAAUCAUCUCAGAAGGGCUGUGUGGAGUAGGGCCGUGUUCUUAGGACGGUGCUUCUUGAUUUUCUCUUUUUUAGGGGUGGGUUAGGGUUGUGGCACACCAGCUCAGGCUAGAGCUGCCGCAGGUCACCUCCUAUUUAUUUUGCCCUUCUUGCCUGUGAGGACUGCGGUCUUUCACUGUCGCUGCUCUUUACCAUUUCUGCACCACCUUGGUGACCUGAGCAGGAAGAUGUGCCACUUCCUAGCAGGAGCAAGGCCUGUGCGGAAAAAGCGCUGCUCCCUGCCACCUGGCUGAAGACGCCAGGAGCCUGUCCUGGCGACUCAGGCGCCGCCUUGCUGCUGAGCUGGCAUUCUGUGGUCUUCAACAGUGAGGGGCUGGGCUGGGAAGUCCUGCGUUUCAGUUGAGCAUGUGAGCGUCAAGUCCUGCUUUCUCAGUUGUUCCAUUGCUGGGCCCCACCAUUCAUCCUGUCUGAAGGUCCUGGGUUUGGUGUGACCAGUCGGCGGCCAGCGGGUGGGGUUUCCGAGUGGGUGGCAGCGUUCCCCGGCAGCCGGGGAUGGGCGUGUUUCACUGACCAGGCCUGUGGAGCGUGCUCAGCCUAACCUUGGAGCACAUUUGUAACUGCAUACAGUGUUUUCAAUUUGUAGAGAAUAGCUAGAAUAUGCUAUUAAAGUUGUGAAACGUGGAG
RNA transcript from Cebus imitator (Panamanian white-faced capuchin), 3049 nucleotides. It is a transcript of the gene named nucleosome assembly protein 1-like 4, with no coding region annotated. The transcript has a single exon. The record is from RefSeq and is a predicted model, not a curated record. NCBI's taxonomy places the organism in Eukaryota, Metazoa, Chordata, Mammalia, Primates, Cebidae.